RNAcentral lists this long non-coding RNA (1144 nucleotides) under Nicotiana benthamiana. Its description in RNAcentral is "long non-coding RNA (NBEN_LNC009770)". The record is from RNAcentral. Lineage: Eukaryota; Viridiplantae; Streptophyta; Magnoliopsida; Solanales; Solanaceae.
UUUUCCUAUAAAAGGCAUUGUCCUUUGCCUAACAAGGGGGAGAGUUUUUUUUUUGAGAGAGUGUUUUGGAAAGACUAGACUGCGAGAUCAGAAUAUUGAAGAAUUUGAGAGCUCAAAUACAUAGAUUUUAGAUCUUAGAAGAAUUCCUAAAAAUCAACACACAAAAAAAAAAGCUUAGAAAUCCAACCAAAACUACUGUUUUCAUCAAGUUUUCAGCAGUUCUAAUUCCUUUCUCAUUUAUGAAAAUACUUGGGUUCAUCUAUUUUAGAGUUGACUUAAACCGCUCAUCAAAAUCCGGUGUUAGAUUCAGCUAUGUUCGCUGUUGCUCCAUGGGUUGCUGCAUUCUGUUCCCUAAAUUUGUAUUGAAUUUGUUUGGUGUUUGUGGGUUCUGUCACGCUGUUGCUGCCUAGCUGACCUCCAAUUUCUCUUAUUCUAUUUCUAAAUUCUAGGUACUUCCUUGGCCUCAAAAUGAUAUGGGAAGAUUUAAUCGAAACAUGUAACCAAGUCAUAGGAAAAUGAUGAAUUGCAACACAUUUUCUUCAUGUUGUUUUACUUUGAUUUGUCUUCCUAGCAUAUUUGUGUGUAUUUAUAAUUUACUUGCAAGCAUGUUAGUUCAAGUGUUAGAUUUUAGCUUCAUUGGAGUGUGAGAGUUAUAUGAUUUAGACCUUUCAAUGUUUGUAAUAAUUGGACAGUGGACUUUUAUACAUCUUCAAGGCUUAUUAUCAUAUUUAGCUGUAGGUUUGAAUACUGUGUGAACUUCAAAGUGAUUGUAGGGUGAGUGUUUGUAUUACUUUAAUUUGUUAGUUCUAAUUCCAUGCUUCAAUACAUGAUUCCCCACAACUUAAUUUUGAGGCCAUUUGAUUAGAGUUUUAAGAUCUAUAAAAAUCAAAACACAAUCAUUCAUGCAUGCUCUCAAUUUAAAUAUAUAUAUCCCUGUUGUUCAUCUAGUAUUUGCAUAUUAAAAAUUGAAUUCUAAAAGAGCUAGCCAACGAUUUAAAACAGUGUAGUACCUUACACUUAAACUGUAUUCGUUUUAGUUUGGGAUUCACAAUUUGUUUUUAAAUGCAAUGGUUCAAAAUUGAGCAUAUAGAAAAUGAGCAUAUAAAAUUUUAGAGGAUUUGUUUUCUUGUUGAGUAAUAUACAU